This 713-nucleotide long non-coding RNA is filed under the name Nicotiana benthamiana. RNAcentral's name for it is "long non-coding RNA (NBEN_LNC002921)". The record is from RNAcentral. Lineage: Eukaryota; Viridiplantae; Streptophyta; Magnoliopsida; Solanales; Solanaceae.
UCUAAUGGUUAUUAUCUGCAUGGUAAACUUCCUCUGCCAAGCUACCGGAAGCAAUAACAACAACCACCACCCAGUAGAAUCUCAUUAGUGGGGUCUGGGGAGAGUAGAAUGUACGCAAACCUUACCCCUACCCCGAAGGGAUAGAGAGGAUGUUUCCGGGAGACCCUUGGCUCAGAGAGAAUUAGAUCCGUAACCACAACAAAAAUCCAAAAAAAUAGUAUCAACAUCAUAAAAUACAACAAAUAAAUGGAAAGGCCAAAAUGUGAAAGGCAGCAACAACCACAACAUAACAAAAAAAUAAAAAUUAUGAAACACAACAAAAUCGCUAGCAGUCCUAGACAAAACACUAUCAGACUAGCCUGUGCAGCGAGGAGAAACACUCGACUACCCUCUAACCUACAACCCUAAUACUCGACCUCCACACAUUCCUAUCAAAGGCCAUGUCCUCGGAAAUUUGAAGAUGCGCCAUGUCCUGCCUGAUCAUCUCGCCCCAGUAUUUCUUAGGCCACCCUCUACCUCUUCUCAUAACUGCCAGAAUCAAACGCUCACACCUCCUAACCGAGCAUCUGGGCUCCUUCUCCGCACGUGCCUGAACCACCUAAGCCUUGCUUCACGCAUCUUGUCAUCUAGGAGAGCCACACCCACCCUCUCCCGAGUAACCUUAUUUCUAAUCUUAUCCAUCCGAGUGUGCCCGCAAAUCCAUCUCAACAUCC